This is a long non-coding RNA of Canis lupus familiaris (dog), 1077 nucleotides long. RefSeq lists it as uncharacterized. The transcript is spliced from 2 exons. The record is from RefSeq and is a predicted model, not a curated record. Lineage: Eukaryota; Metazoa; Chordata; Mammalia; Carnivora; Canidae.
GCCCACCGUGACAUCAGGGUGACCCUGAAGGGAUCCCCGGGGAACCUGCCGCCCUGCAGCAUCCCCCAGCCUGCAUGGGACCUGCCCACACAUCCCUGGUUCCCUGAAACUGAGGAGGAAGGAAUGGGGCUCGCAGGAUGGUGGCACAGGGGGCCUGGCCUGGCCUGCACUGUGUUACCUGACGGCGCCUCCUGAUCACUGCCCUGAUGCCUUGGUAUCUAUGUUGGAACCAAUGCCUACAGCAAUGGUCAAGCCGCACCCCUGGGGUUCCUGGGAGCCAGAGCCCCCAGAGGUGGGCUGGCAGCAAGAGAACAUCCUCCAGUAGCAGAUGUCUCCAGCCAAGUGAGCCUGAGCUGGGGCUGCACUGGAUGCGGGUGCCUGGUUAUGGGGGUUCCGAGUUCUGUCGGGCUCUGUGACACGGAAGUGACCUCACUGCCUGGGACCACCUCCCUGACCCACUCCUGGAGGAAGCUGCAGGGGCAGCGAUCAUGCUGCCAAUGCUUCCCCCUUCCCCGCAGGCAAUGGCCUUUGUACACAGGGACACAACCGCACCCCUAUCGACAGGCCCCAGGGAAGGACUCUGUGCCCCCAGGGCCCCAGCCUGGACACACACCUGGGUUCAGACACGAAUCUCCAGUCUUCCCCGGUUUGACCCCAGAGAAGCCGUUGUGCCUGUCGGGGAUGGUCUGCGUCUUGCCUGUGGGACAGGGAAUAUCCUAGCAGGUCCACGAGGUCUUCUGUGCACACACGUGGGCACCGGUACCCUCAUUCUGGAGGCCCAGAAGAUGACAGUCCCCCCGGGCAGGGAUGGACAACAGCUUCCCAGGAUCCUAGGCUCCUGAAUCCAAGGCAAACCCUGCAGAAGGUGUCGUCUGGUCUCCUGUUGUGAUUCUGAGUCUGGGGUUGUGGAUUUGCUCCCGAAUGGGACCCUCUGUGCCCCGUGACCCUGGGUCAGGUGUUCAAAACUGCAGCUAUUUCAGAAAACCGAUCUUUUCCUCACCCUUCGAUUCAUGAGUUACACAUCCAAGAAGACUGACACCACACACAUUUUUCCAAAUUAAAUGAUAUUUAUGUUGA